UACGUAGGGUGCAAGCGUUAAUCGGAAUUACUGGGCGUAAAGCGCGUGUAGGCGGUCCGGUAAGUCCGCUGUGAAAGUCGAGGGCUCAACCCUGGAAAGCCGGCCGAUACUGUCGGACUAGAGUCCGGAAGAGGCGAGUGGAAUUCCCGGUGUAGCGGUGAAAUGCGCAGAUAUCGGGAGGAACACCAAUGGCGAAGGCAGCUCGCUGGGACGGUACUGACGCUGAGGCGCGAAAGCGUGGGAGCAAACAGG
RNAcentral lists this ribosomal RNA (252 nucleotides) under uncultured bacterium. RNAcentral's name for it is "partial 16S ribosomal RNA". It matches the Rfam family "Bacterial small subunit ribosomal RNA", at positions 524 to 776 of the family's 1533-position model. The record is from RNAcentral.